UACGUAGGGUGCAAGCGUUGUCCGGAAUUAUUGGGCGUAAAGAGCUCGUAGGCGGUCUGUCACGUCGGCUGUGAAAUCCCGAGGCUCAACCUCGGGUCUGCAGUCGAUACGGGCAAACUAGAGUAUUGCAGGGGAGACUGGAAUUCCUGGUGUAGCGGUGAAAUGCGCAGAUAUCAGGAGGAACACCGGUGGCGAAGGCGGGUCUCUGGGAAGGUACCGACGCUGAGGAGCGAAAGCGUGGGGAGCAAACAGG
Molecule: ribosomal RNA, 253 nt
Filed under: uncultured bacterium
Lineage: Bacteria
Description: partial 16S ribosomal RNA
Rfam family: Bacterial small subunit ribosomal RNA
Source: RNAcentral